UUAGAUACCCCACUAUGCUUAGCCAUAAACUUAGACAACACUAACACAAUGUUAUCCGCCAGAGAACUACAAGCGAAAAGCUCAAAACUCCAAGGACUUGGCGGUGCUUCAAACCAACCUAGAGGAGCCUGUCCUAUAAUCGAUACCCCACGUUCUACCUUACCGCCUUUAGCAAUCAGCCUAUAUACCGCCGUCGUCAGCCUACCUUAUGAAAGAAAUAAAGUAGGCAAAAAAGUUAAUAACUAACACGUCAGGUCAAGGUGUAGCAAACAAGACGGCAGAGAUGGGCUACAUUUUUUCAAAGUAAAAACACGAAUAGAAUGUUGAAACAUACCCUUAAAGGCGGAUUUAGUAGUAAGAUAUAAAAGAGAACAUAUCUUAAACCUGCUCUGAAGCGCGCACACACCGCCCG
RNAcentral lists this ribosomal RNA (412 nucleotides) under Parvoscincus kitangladensis. Its description in RNAcentral is "partial 12S ribosomal RNA". It matches the Rfam family "Bacterial small subunit ribosomal RNA", at positions 778 to 1396 of the family's 1533-position model. Lineage: Eukaryota; Metazoa; Chordata; Lepidosauria; Squamata; Scincidae. The record is from RNAcentral.